RNAcentral lists this ribosomal RNA (445 nucleotides) under uncultured bacterium. RNAcentral's name for it is "bacterial SSU rRNA". It matches the Rfam family "Bacterial small subunit ribosomal RNA", at positions 339 to 796 of the family's 1533-position model. The record is from RNAcentral.
CUACGGGAGGCAGCAGUGGGGAAUAUUGCACAAUGGGCGAAAGCCUGAUGCAGCGACGCCGCGUGCGGGAUGACGGCCUUCGGGUUGUAAACCGCUUUCAGCAGGGAAGAAGCGCAAGUGACGGUACCUGCAGAAGAAGCACCGGCUAACUACGUGCCAGCAGCCGCGGUAAUACGUAGGGUGCAAGCGUUAUCCGGAAUUAUUGGGCGUAAAGAGCUCGUAGGCGGUCUGUCGCGUCUGCUGUGAAAACUGGAGGCUCAACCUCCAGCCUGCAGUGGGUACGGGCAGACUAGAGUGCGGUAGGGGAGAUUGGAAUUCCUGGUGUAGCGGUGGAAUGCGCAGAUAUCAGGAGGAACACCGAUGGCGAAGGCAGAUCUCUGGGCCGUAACUGACGCUGAGGAGCGAAAGCGUGGGGAGCGAACAGGAUUAGAUACCCUUGUAGUCC